RNAcentral lists this ribosomal RNA (884 nucleotides) under uncultured bacterium. Its description in RNAcentral is "bacterial SSU rRNA". It matches the Rfam family "Bacterial small subunit ribosomal RNA", at positions 21 to 883 of the family's 1533-position model. The record is from RNAcentral.
GGCUCAGAACGAACGCUGGCGGCGUGCUUAACACAUGCAAGUCGAACGCGAAAGGGACUUCGGUCCUGAGUAAAGUGGCGCACGGGUGAGUAACGCGUGGAUAAUCUACCCAAUGGUCUGGGAUAACAUUUCGAAAGGGGUGCUAAUACCGGAUAAGACCACGGAGUCUCUGGACUCUGCGGUAAAAGGUGGGGACCUUCGGGCCUACCGCAAUUGGAUGAGUCCGCGUACCAUUAGCUAGUUGGUAGGGUAAAGGCCUACCAAGGCUACGAUGGUUAGCUGGUCUGAGAGGAUGAUCAGCCACACUGGAACUGAGACACGGUCCAGACUCCUACGGGAGGCAGCAGUGGGGAAUUUUGCGCAAUGGGGGAAACCCUGACGCAGCAACGCCGCGUGAGUGAUGAAGGCCUUCGGGUCGUAAAGCUCUGUCAGAGGGGAAGAAAUGCAGGGUGCUAAUAUCGCUUCUGCUUGACGGUACCCUCAAAGGAAGCACCGGCUAACUCCGUGCCAGCAGCCGCGGUAAUACGGAGGGUGCGAGCGUUGUUCGGAAUUAUUGGGCGUAAAGCGCGUGUAGGCGGUUUGUUAAGUCUGAUGUGAAAGCCCCGGGCUCAACCUGGGAAGUGCAUUGGAAACUGGCAGACUUGAAUACGGGAGAGGGUAGUGGAAUUCCUAGUGUAGGAGUGAAAUCCGUAGAUAUUAGGAGGAACACCGGUGGCGAAGGCGGCUGCCUGGACCGAUAUUGACGCUGAGACGCGAAAGCGUGGGGAGCAAACAGGAUUAGAUACCCUGGUAGUCCACGCCGUAAACGAUGAGUACUAGGUGUUGCGGGUAUUGACCCCUGCAGUGCCGCAGCUAACGCAUUAAGUACUCCGCCUGGGAAGUAC